GCGCCGGGAGAUUUGCGGUACAAUUAAAAAUUAUAUUCUCAAGCUUAAGUCCGCGCCCUCCGUCGGCGGUCAAGUCUUGCGCAAGAGGCGGUUGCGAACCACGUCAGGGCCUGACGGCAGCAGCGUUAAGCAAACACGCCCCUGUGCCGCAAGGGUUCUUGGCCGCCGACAGACGGCGCGGGUUUCUUUCCGCCGC
Molecule: signal recognition particle RNA, 196 nt
Filed under: Clostridiales bacterium
Lineage: Bacteria; Bacillati; Bacillota; Clostridia; Eubacteriales
Description: signal recognition particle sRNA large type
Rfam family: Bacterial large signal recognition particle RNA
About the family: The signal recognition particle (SRP) is a universally conserved ribonucleoprotein involved in the co-translational targeting of proteins to membranes. Archaeal SRP consists of a 7S RNA and homologues of the eukaryotic SRP19 and SRP54 proteins. In most bacteria, the SRP consists of a 4.5S RNA and the Ffh protein (a homologue of the eukaryotic SRP54 protein).
Source: RNAcentral